UUUUUUUUUAAUCGUUUCUUUUUAAGGAUAGAUUCAAAUUGACAGAAAAGUUGCAAAGAUAGUGCAGAGUCUUGUUUUCCCUAUUGUGACAUCUUCCGUUGUCAUGGUACAUUUGUUGCAGCCAGAAACCAAUGCUGGUGCAUUACUGAACAUCCUGACUGAGGUCCACCUUAACCGGACUCCAUGCUUUAUUUGGAUUUUGCUAGUUUUUCCCAAUGUCCUUUUUCUGUUCCAGGACCCCGUCUAGAACAUCUCACUGCACUGCAUCAUCGUGUGUCCUCAGGCUCCUCCUGGACCUGAGGGUUUCUCAGGCUUUCUUUGUUUUUGAUGACUUUGGCAGUUUGAGGAGGACAGUAGUGCGGUAUUUCUUAUAUUGAGAUGUCAUCUGCAUCAUGUGGACUAAACAAAGGGGACAUUUUGAUCCAGAAUAUUUAUCUCACCUGAGGAUGCUACAGAUUUCCUGGCAGUUAUGUUUAAGAUUCAAGAUUCUUUCUACUAGUUCUUCAGGGUAAACGCAGCCUUAAUUUCUGAAAUUGAAUAUUCAUGGAGAAUCUACUAUGUAUAACAUAUUUUGUGAUAAACUAAUGAUCAAGACGUAGCCUUUGCCCUAAGGAGGUAAACCACGGACAUGGAUAACAAUUUCAGAAAGUCAAAAGCUACAAGUGACAUAGAAUAGUUUACAGAAAAGUCAACAAGAGGCCGUACAAAGAUGAGACAAUUUCCAACUGGAAAGAUCUGGAAAGGUAUGUAGGAGGAGGGUGCCAACUGAGCUUGAAAAAUUUGGAGAUGCUGUUGCUGCUGGGUGUCAGCUCCUACCUGGAUUCGAACGUCAGGCAAUGAGACCACCACACUCGCUGGAAUUUUGGUGCACACGUGAGGUACAAGGAGAGGCUUAAUUAGAUUGCACCCUCCUAGGACUCCGUGUCCGCGGGGCACUGGCCAGAUGCUCCCCGGGCAGCUCUUUCCAGGGAGGGACCUGCUCCGUUGGAGACGUGAUGGAUUUACAGGGACCAGCCAACUGCCUUCCGCUAUGUCUGCUUGAGGACGACGAAUUUACACUGACCUUGUGGCCGCAGGCUCGGUGGGCAAAGGAGGACCAGCAGCCCUCCGUGGUGUCCCGAGGCUGUGAGUGUGUCCCACUGGAGCACCUCCUGGUCCCUCCGUAUUUCAAGGCUUUCGAGGCCCCUGGCACACAGGGGUGCUCAGGAAUAUUUGAUUUCUUUUAGAAUGACCUCAGAGCAGAGUGUUGAAAUGAAGACCGAGUGAAAUCUCGCCAACCUGCUCUGUCCCUUCGGGCUCCGGGCGGCCUCCUGCCUGUCCCUGAGGAGCUGGCAGAGUGGCCUCCCGGGCUCCCAGGGACCGGGAGCCGCCGGUGCUCGUGCUGAGGGUGGGCCCGGCUGGCCCUGACUGUGCAUCGCUUCUCUAGUGGUGCCGCUUGUGGCUGAUCACACGUUAGCUGAGUGCCCCAGUGACAGAGCUGCUCUGCACUCUGUCGCCAUCGAUCUCCCGUCACUCAUUAGUAAGUGACCGUGCUAGACAUGGCCCUUGGGCAUUUUUCCAAUGCAAAGCCACUUAGCAUUAAAAUUGCAGCAUCUCUUUUGGCUUUUUCACAAGUCUUUAUCAAACCCAUUUAAAAACUUACCGUGAACGUGACCCACUCUCCAGAUAGCCUCUGACUGUCUUGACCUUUGACCUCUAUAAGACAACAGGAACAACUGUGCCAUUUAACAUCAUUUUUUUUUCUAUAGUAGGUAAGUCUCGUGGAAAUAGACUAAAUGUACAGAAGAUGGGGUGGGGUUUUUUUUUGACAACUUAAGAGCAGAAGUGCUUUUUCGUUAUUAUUCUGUCAUCAACGCUUCUAUAGUCCAGUAUAAACAACCUUAUCUUCUAGCUGUACUUUAAAUUUCAAUGGAAAAGAUGCCUAGGGAGUUAAAUAUAUGCAAUGCUCCGAUUUUAGAAGUAAACAUUUUAGAGAUUCAGAAUGUGUGAGUUGGUGGUUUUCAUCUAGCUCCAGAUUUUUCGCCAUGAGAUGGGAGGAGAUGUGCCAAGAGACCUCUGCCCGCCAUGGUCAACACGUCCGCGGGAGGCCUCGCCAGGCCCACGUCCCAGACACUUUCUGUGCUUUAAAGAACUUUUUUUAUUUGAGUCUCAUAAAUGCAUCAGUUACGGAGACACUGAACGUUUCUUUGGGAGGACAUGCACAUCCCUUAAUGCGAACAGUCUAGCAUAAAUACAAAGGUCAACUCAUUGUGAUUGAUCACUUCAGAAUAAAGUGCCUGUCCCUAAGAGAGGAAGGGAGGGUGACAGGAAGAUACCAGAGCACGAGGGAUCUGGGGCUCAUUUAUUUGUCCCCAGCUGCAGCCGCGGACUUCCGGCUAUUCCCGCCACGUCAUGAGGUACACUCGUUGCUCAUUGGCAGGGAGCCACCCUGAAUCAGGAGAAGUUUCAAUCCUGGGGUGACAUGAGCACAUUCCAUUUUGAAUAAGCCCUACAUGAAGGCAGACUGGGGGCCUGGAUUUCCUGUGCCUGGGCCACCUAGAUGACAAGAUGCGAAGCUGGCUGUGAAUGUGUCAUUCUGUUCUUGUUUACAUCGACUUGAGAAGAGAAAGAAGAAAGCCUUGAAAUCCAGCUGAGUCUUGUGUGGUACUUCAAGGAGGAAAAUUGCAAUUUCUGUAAUCACAGAAUAAAUCCUCAUUUAACGUUUUCUUAAUAAAAUAAUGUAAAAAUUUUCCAGAGCAGAGUGAAG
This 2746-nucleotide long non-coding RNA is filed under the name Equus caballus (horse). Its description in RNAcentral is "lncRNA (ENSECAG00000048117.1)". Lineage: Eukaryota; Metazoa; Chordata; Mammalia; Perissodactyla; Equidae. The record is from RNAcentral.